GACGAACGCUGGCGGCGUGCCUAAUACAUGCAAGUAGAACGCACAGUUUAUACCGUAGCUUGCUACACCAUAGACUGUGAGUUGCGAACGGGUGAGUAACGCGUAGGUAACCUGCCUGGUAGCGGGGGAUAACUAUUGGAAACGAUAGCUAAUACCGCAUAAUAUUAAUUAUUGCAUGAUAAUUAAUUGAAAGGUGCAAUUGCACCACUACCAGAUGGACCUGCGUUGUAUUAGCUAGUAGGUGAGGUAACGGCUCACCUAGGCGACGAUACAUAGCCGAACUGAGAGGGUGAUCGGCCACACUGGGACUGAGACACGGCCCAGACUCCUACGGGAGGCAGCAGUAGGGAAUCUUCGGCAAUGGAUGAAAGUCUGACCGAGCAACGCCGCGUGAGUGAAGAAGGUUUUCGGAUCGUAAAGCUCUGUUGUAAGAGAAGAACGGGUGUGAGAGUGGAAAGUUCACACUGUGACGGUAUCUGACCAGAAAGAGACGGCUAACUACGUG
Molecule: ribosomal RNA, 505 nt
Filed under: uncultured bacterium
Lineage: Bacteria
Description: partial 16S ribosomal RNA
Rfam family: Bacterial small subunit ribosomal RNA
Source: RNAcentral